AGAGCCGAGGAGACGAUCGCUGCGGGCCGAUCCGAUGGUGAAGCCCGGAGAGGAAAGUCCGAACUCCGCAGGGCAGCGCGCUGGGUAACCCCCAGGCCCGGUGACGGGACGGAAAGUGCAGCAGAGAGUAGACCGCCCGCGGUUGCUCCCGGAACGGGCCACCUUGUUCCGGCGUCUCACAGUGACUGCGGGUAAGGGUGAAACGGUGCGGUAAGAGCGCACCAGCACCGGCGGCGACGUCGGUGGCUUGGCAAACCCCGCGCGGAGCAAGACCAAAUAGGGGAGCGUUCGAGGUCGGCCCGACCGAAGCUUCCGGGUAGGUCGCUGGAGGGUCUUCGGACCCGUAGAUGAAUGAUCGUCCUUCGGCACCGGCGUUCGACAGAGCGGCGGUGCCGGGGAACAGAAUUCGGCUUAUGAUCGGCUCGAUAG
This 429-nucleotide RNase P RNA is filed under the name Acidobacteria bacterium Mor1. RNAcentral's name for it is "bacterial RNase P". It matches the Rfam family "Bacterial RNase P class A". From Rfam's summary of the family: Ribonuclease P (RNase P) is a ubiquitous endoribonuclease, found in archaea, bacteria and eukarya as well as chloroplasts and mitochondria. Its best characterised activity is the generation of mature 5'-ends of tRNAs by cleaving the 5'-leader elements of precursor-tRNAs. The record is from RNAcentral. Lineage: Bacteria; Pseudomonadati; Acidobacteriota.